GAAAUAGGCCCUUGCUCCAAGUCCCAGUAACUCGGAAUGCGGAGCCGCUCGUCUCCCGUCUUUUUUAAGGUAGAAAUUGUUACCUAAUACAAGGUGAAAGGAGAGGAGGGAAGCAUUUUCUACCUAUUUAUUCUCAAUUAAAACUCAAACGCGGACUGGUCCAGACAGUUCGUCUUUUGCAGGAUGUGCCUGAUAGUUGACUCGAGCUUUUACUGUGCCUUGGUAACUGCGAUGGACCUGGGAACCUUGACAGAGUUCACAGCCCCUGGUUUUGUGAAAGAGCGUGCCUAGGCCUAAAGGGGUUGUCGGGGCUAAGCUGGAAGCAUUUCUACUGCCAGCUGAGACAGCCACCGCCGCGGAGGCACAGCCCUCCCCAGCAGCAAGCGGGCUUCCUCGGGAGACCGGGAGGCAGCCCGGCCAUGCUUAGUCAGUUCAGCCCUUUGUUAAAAUACCGGCCAGAGAGCCGCUCUCCCUAUCCUAACUUGCCUCUCUUCUCUCGCACCCCACGCGCUCCCCGACCCCCAAUAAGUUUGCUGAGGGCAGAGAAGGGGACGAAGUUUGAGCAGCAAUUCCAUCAUCUCAGACUCGCACGUGUACACCUUUAUCCUCAGGCACUUCCACUCCCUGCGCGCCUCGGUGAGCCAAGGCUACACCAGAGAGAGUGGGAACGUCUCGCAGCUCUUCGAACUUGUUGCCUCUACCACUCACGCAGUUUCCUAUUCUCCCAUGAACGGAACCCACCACUUAUUGAAAGGUCAUUAUUUAAAUCACUGCUUCAGAAUCACAUGCAUUUUUUUCAAAAUCCACAUGACCAGGCUCGCCCCAGGACGUUAUGAUUCAAUAGAUCUGCGAAACUGAAGCUGAGCCUGAAGGAAUUACAGAACUUGGAGUAAAUGCUUCUUCAAAAUACGAGUUUUGGUCGGGCGCGGUGGCUCACCCCUGUAAUCCCAGCACUUUGGGAGGCCAAGGCGGGCGGAUCACGAGGUCAGGAGGUAGAGACCAUCCUGGCCAACAUGGUGAAACCCGUCUCUACUAAAAAUAGAAAAAUUAGCUGGGCGUGGUGGCGCGUGCCUGUAAUCCCAGCUACUCGGGAGGCUGACACAGAAUCACUUGAACCAGGGAGUCGGAGGUUGCAGUGAGCCGAGAUCGUGCCACUGCACUCCAGCCUGGCGACAGAGCUGGACUCCGUCUCAAAAAGAAGUUUUUUCUCUUUAAAAAUAAAAAAGCGGGGAGGGGGGCAUUAAAAUUAGAAAGAUUGUGUUCAAGUUUCUUUUGUUUUUUUUUAAGUAUUAACCUAAGAAUAUUAAGGCCGGUCGCGGUGGCUCACGCCUGUAAUCCCAGCACUUUGGGAGGCCGAGGCGGGUGAAUCACCUGAGGUCAGGAGUUUGAGAACAGCCUCACCAACAUGGUGAAACCCCAUCUCUACUAAAAAUACAAAAAUUAGCUGGGCUUGGUGUCAGGAUCCUGUAAUCCCAGCUACUUGGGAGGCUGAGGCAGGAGAAUCGCUUAAACCCAGGAGUUGGAGGUUGCAGUGAGCCAAGAUCGCGCCAUUGCACUUCAGUCUGGGCAGCAAGAGCGAAACUCCGUCUCAAAAAAAGAAAAAGAAUAUUAAGAUGUUAGAGUUUUUAUUAAUUUUUUUCAAAGUAGGCCAGGCGCGAUGGUGGGCUCCUGUAAUCUCAGCUACUCAGGAGGCUGAGGCAGUAGAAUUGCUUCAACCCAGGAGGCAGAGGUUGCAGUGAGCUGAGAUCACGCCAUUGCACUCCAGCCUGGACAACGGAGCAAGACUCUCCCACCAAAAAAAAAAAAAAAAGUAUUAAACAUGUUUCUUAGAAUACAUUUAAGCUUCCAAGUGAUCAAAUUAAGUAAACCUUUUCACAAGUCAAAAUGUACUAUUAAAAAACAAAGUUUGGGGCCGGGUGCAGUGGCUCACGCCUGUAAUCCCAGCAUUUUGGGAGGCCGAGGCGGGCGGAUCAUGAGGUCAGGAGUUCGAGACCAGCCUGACCAACAUGGCGAAACCCCCGUCUCUACUAAAUAUACAAAAAUUAGCCGGGCCUGGUGGCAAGUGCCUGUAAUCCCAGCUACUCGGGAGGCUGAGGCAGGAGAAAUUGCUUGAACCUGGGAGGCGGAGGUUGCAGUGAGCUGAGAUCGCGCCAUCACACUCCAGCCUGGGCAACAGAGGGAGACUCUGUCUCAAAAAAAAAGAACAAAGUUUGAAAAUCUAAUCCUAUUUUUAGGAUGAGUCUUUGAUACCAGUCCAUGAGGAAAGGCUUAUUUGUGAAUAAAAUCAAAGGAAAACAAACUCAUAGGAAAGUCUUUAUAAUUAUUAUAAACAAACCUGGAGGUCCAGGUGUCGUGGCUCAAGAUUGUAAUCCUAGCACUUUGGGAGGUUGAGGCGAGAGGAUGGCUUGAGGCCAGGGGUUGGAGACCAGCCUGGGCAACAUGAUGAGAUGCAGUGUCUACAAAAAUAAUUUUUAAGAAUUAGCUGGACAUGGUCGUGCUGGCCUGUAAUCCCAACUACUGAGGAGGCUGAGGCAGGAGGAUUGCUUGAGCCCAGAAGUUAGGCGGCAAUGAGCUAUGAUCACGCCACUUCACUCCAGCGUGGGCAACAGAGCAAGAAAGACUCUGUCUCUAAAAUAAAAUAAUAAAUAGGCCGGGCAUGGUGGCUCAUGCCUGUAAUCCCAGCACUUUGGGGAGCCAAGGCUGGCAGAUCACCUGAGGUCAGGAGUUAAGGACCAGCCUGAUCAACAUGGAGAAACCCCGUCUCUACUCAAAAUACAAAAUUAGCUGGGUGUGGUGGCACAUGUCUGUGAUCCCAGCAACUCGGGAGGCUGAGGCAGGAGAAUCUCUUGAACCUGGGAGGCGCAGGUUGCCGUGAGCCGAGAUUGCGCCAUUGCACUCUGGCCUAGGCAACAAGAGUGAAACUUCGUCUCAAAAUAAAAGAAAAUAAACCUACAGUUUAUACGUGAAUUAUAGUGUAUCAGUUAAUCCUCCUCCCUCCUGAUUUAUAAGUCCAAAAGUUUUGAACUGGUUGUUUCAGAAAACAAUGCUUUUACUAUUUCAUCAGUUGCUUAAAAGGAAUGUUUUGAUGUAGAAGUUAGAACUUUUUCGUAGAGCUUUUCAUUUUUCUUAAAGCGUCAGUUUACCUUUCUUGUAUAUCAUUAAUCAAACGAAACUCAUGCCUUCAUCUCAUCUGUAGCACACCAGAGUAAUAGUAUCUGUGUUCUCCAAGCUGUUCUCUCCAGAAACCACGUUUCUACGUGUGUGCAAAGUUGUAUUACUGGGAUUUCCCCUGAAUGCACUUCUGGAUUCCACUGUUUCGUGUUAUUUGGUUGGGUGUUUUGUCUUAAUAAGACAUAGUUCUUUUUCUUUUUUUUCAUAG
RNAcentral lists this long non-coding RNA (3379 nucleotides) under Homo sapiens (human). RNAcentral describes it as "non-protein coding STT3A-AS1:7". The record is from RNAcentral. Lineage: Eukaryota; Metazoa; Chordata; Mammalia; Primates; Hominidae.